ACAGGCGGUGGAGUAUGUGGUUUAAUUCGAUGCAACGCGAAGAACCUUACCUGGUCUUGACAUCCCGGAGACCCUUAGGAAACUAGGGGGUGCCUUCCAUCUGGAAGAAUCUGGAGACAGGUGCUGCAUGGCUGUCGUCAGCUCGUGUCGUGAGAUGUUGGGUUAAGUCCCGCAACGAGCGCAACCCUUGCCUUUAGUUGCCAGCAGUUCGGCUGGGCACUCUAAAGGGACUGCCGGUGUUAAACCGGAGGAAGGUGGGGAUGACGUCAAGUCCUCAUGGCCUUUAUGACCAGGGCUACACACGUACUACAAUGGCCGAUACAAAGGGCAGCGACACUGCGAGGUGAAGCCAAUCCCGUAAAAUCGGUCUCAGUCCGGAUUGGAGUCUGCAACUCGACUCCAUGAAGUUGGAAUCGCUAGUAAUCGUGGAUCAGCAUGCCACGGUGAAUACGUUCCCGGGCCUU
Molecule: ribosomal RNA, 464 nt
Filed under: uncultured Desulfobulbus sp.
Lineage: Bacteria; Pseudomonadati; Thermodesulfobacteriota; Desulfobulbia; Desulfobulbales; Desulfobulbaceae
Description: bacterial SSU rRNA
Rfam family: Bacterial small subunit ribosomal RNA
Source: RNAcentral